GAUGAACGCUGGCGGCGUGCCUAAUACAUGCAAGUCGAGCGAACAGACGAGGAGCUUGCUCCUCUGACGUUAGCGGCGGACGGGUGAGUAACACGUGGAUAACCUACCUAUAAGACUGGGAUAACUUCGGGAAACCGGAGCUAAUACCGGAUAAUAUAUUGAACCGCAUGGUUCGAUAGUGAAAGAUGGUUUUGCUGUCACUUAUAGAUGGACCCGCGCCGCAUUAGCUAGUUGGUAAGGUAACGGCUUACCAAGGCAACGAUCCGUAGCCGACCUGAGAGGGUGAUCGGCCACACUGGAACUGAGACACGGUCCAGACUCCUACGGGAGGCAGCAGUAGGGAAUCUUCCGCAAUGGGCGAAAGCCUGACGGAGCAACGCCGCGUGAGUGAUGAAGGUCUUCGGAUCGUAAAACUCUGUUAUUAGGGAAGAACAAAUGUGUAAGUAACUAUGCACGUCUUGACGGUACCUAAUCAGAAAGCCACGGCUAACUACGUG
RNAcentral lists this ribosomal RNA (497 nucleotides) under uncultured bacterium. RNAcentral describes it as "partial 16S ribosomal RNA". It matches the Rfam family "Bacterial small subunit ribosomal RNA", at positions 28 to 507 of the family's 1533-position model. The record is from RNAcentral.